GGACGAACGCUGGCGGCGUGCUUAACACAUGCAAGUCGAACGGAAAGGCCCUGCUUUUGUGGGGUGCUCGAGUGGCGAAUGGGUGAGUAACACGUGAGUAACCUGCCCUUGACUUUGGGAUAACUUCAGGAAACUGGGGCUAAUACCGGAUAGGAGCUCCUGCUGCAUGGUGGGGGUUGGAAAGUUUCGGCGGUUGGGGAUGGACUCGCGGCUUAUCAGCUUGUUGGUGGGGUAGUGGCUUACCAAGGCUUUGACGGGUAGCCGGCCUGAGAGGGUGACCGGCCACAUUGGGACUGAGAUACGGCCCAGACUCCUACGGGAGGCAGCAGUGGGGAAUAUUGCACAAUGGGCGGAAGCCUGAUGCAGCAACGCCGCGUGCGGGAUGACGGCCUUCGGGUUGUAAACCGCUUUCGCCUGUGACGAAGCGUGAGUGACGGUAAUGGGUAAAGAAGCACCGGCUAACUACGUG
RNAcentral lists this ribosomal RNA (469 nucleotides) under uncultured bacterium. RNAcentral's name for it is "partial 16S ribosomal RNA". It matches the Rfam family "Bacterial small subunit ribosomal RNA", at positions 27 to 507 of the family's 1533-position model. The record is from RNAcentral.